UACGGGGGGAGCAAGCGUUGUUCGGAUUUACUGGGCGUAAAGGGCGCGUAGGCGGCCACCGCAAGUCGGUUGUGAAAUCUCUGGGCUUAACCCAGAAAGGUCAACCGAUACUGCGGGGCUAGAGUGCAGAAGGGGCAACUGGAAUUCCUGGUGUAGCGGUGAAAUGCGCAGAUAUCAGGAGGAACACCAAUGGCGAAGGCAGCUCGCUGGAACGGUACUGACGCUGAGGCGCGAAAGCGUGGGGAGCGAACAGG
RNAcentral lists this ribosomal RNA (254 nucleotides) under uncultured bacterium. RNAcentral's name for it is "partial 16S ribosomal RNA". It matches the Rfam family "Bacterial small subunit ribosomal RNA", at positions 524 to 776 of the family's 1533-position model. The record is from RNAcentral.